GUGUGUUUUGUUACGGGCGUAUGGUGGAUGCCUUGGCAUGCUGAGCCGAUGAAGGACGUGUGAGGCUGCGUUAUGCCUCGGGGAGUUGCCAACAAAGCGUUGAUCCGAGGAUGUCCGAAUGGGGAAACCCAGCACCGGUUGUGUGGUGUUACCCGCAGGUGAAUUCAUAGCCUGUGUGGGGGUUGACGCGGGGAAGUGAAACAUCUCAGUACCCGUAGGAGAAGAAAACAAUUGUGAUUCCGUGUGUAGUGGCGAGCGAUAGCGGAUGAGGCUAAACCGUGUGCGUGUGAUACCUGGCAGGGGUUGCGUGUGCGGUGUUGUGGGGCGCAAGUGGUGCAGGCUGCCGACUGCAAGCGCAAUUUGCAUACAUCAGCGGAAGCAUCUGGGAUGGUGCACCGGAGUAGGUGAUGAGUCCUGUACGUGAAGGUGUGUGUGGUUGUGUUGUUUGUGUUUUUCCCCGAGUAGCAGCGGGCUCGUGGAAUCUGCUGUGAAUCUGCCGGGACCACCCGGUAAGCCUAAAUACUCAGUGUGACCGAUAGUGAAUGAAGUACCGUGAGGGAAUGGUGAAAAGUACCCCGGGAGGGGAGUGAAAGAGUUCCUGAAACCAUGCGCUUACAAUCCGUCAGAGCACCUUUGUGUGUGAUGGCGUGCCUUUUGAAGAAUGAGCCUGCGAGUCAGCGGCAUGUCGCGAGGUUAACCCGUUUGUGGGGUAGUCGUAGCGAAAGCGAAUCCGAAUAGGGUGGCAAGUGGCAUGUCCUGGACCCGAAGCGGGGUGAUCUACCCAUGGCCAGUGUGAAGCAGCUGUAAGAGGUUGUGGAGGCGCGAACCCACUUAGGUUGAAAACUGAGGGGAUGAGCUGUGGGUAGGGGUGAAAGGCCAAUCAAACUCCGUGAUAGCUGGUUCUCCCCGAAAUGCAUUUAGGUGCAGCGUGAUGUGAGCUUGCCGGAGGUAGAGCUACUGGUUGGUUGAGCGGGACUAUCAUCUUAGCGACGUCAGCCAAACUCCGAAUACCGGUGAAGUGGUGCAUUGCAGUGAGACUGUGGGGGAUAAGCUUCAUAGUCGAGAGGGAAACAGCCCAGAUCGCCGGUUAAGGCCCCUAAGGGUGUGCUAAGUGGAAAAGGAUGUGGGAUCGCGAAGACAGCCAGGAGGUUGGCUUAGAAGCAGCCAUCCUUGAAAGAGUGCGUAAUAGCUCACUGGUCGAGUGGUUCCGCGCCGACAAUGUAGUGGGGCUCAAGCACACCGCCGAAGCCGCGGCAAUAGUUUUGCUAUUGGGUAGGGGAGCGUCGUGUGUGGGGUGAAGCCGUAUCGGAAGGAGCGGUGGACUGCAUGCGAGUGAGAAUGCAGGCAUGAGUAACGAAUGGCAAGUGAGAAUCUUGCCCGCCGGAUGACUAAGGGUUCCUGGGUCAAGUUCGUCUUCCCAGGGUGAGUCGGGUCCUAAGGCGAGGCCGACAGGCGUAGUCGAUGGUCAACGGGUUGAUAUUCCCGUACCCGUAUGUGCGCGCCCAGUAUCGAAGCGGUGAGACUAACCACCCUGAUCUACCGACCGGUGCCACUUUUCGAAGUGGUUGGUUGGUGGUGAUGCGUGGGGCCUGAUCCGUGGUAGGUCAGUGAUGGGGUGACGCAGUGAGGUAGCCGAGCCGCUUAUUGGAUUGCGGUGCAAGCGUGUGGCACGACAACAUUGGUCAAAUCCGGUUGUCAUGAGUGUGAGGCGUGAUGCGUAGCCCAUUGGGGUGAUGUUGGUGAUCCUGUACUGCCGAGAAAAGCCUCUAGCGAUGUG
RNAcentral lists this ribosomal RNA (1777 nucleotides) under Corynebacterium pilbarense. RNAcentral's name for it is "partial 23S ribosomal RNA". It matches the Rfam family "Bacterial large subunit ribosomal RNA", at positions 1 to 1630 of the family's 2925-position model. Lineage: Bacteria; Bacillati; Actinomycetota; Actinomycetes; Mycobacteriales; Corynebacteriaceae. The record is from RNAcentral.